CGGGGGAGCAAGCGUUGUUCGGAUUUACUGGGCGUAAAGGGCGCGUAGGCGGCCACCGCAAGUCGACUGUGAAAUCUCCGGGCUUAACCCGGAAAGGUCAGCCGAUACUGCGGGGCUAGAGUGCAGAAGGGGCAACUGGAAUUCUCGGUGUAGCGGUGAAAUGCGUAGAUAUCGAGAGGAACACCUGCGGCGAAGGCGGGUUGCUGGGCUGACACUGACGCUGAGGCGCGAAAGCUAGGGGAGCGAACGGGAUUAGAUACCCCGGUAGUCCUAGCCUUAAACGAUGAAUGCUUGGUGUCUGGGGGUUUUAUAGUCCCCGGGUGCCGUCGCUAACGCUUUAAGCAUUCCGCCUGGGGAGUACGGUCGCAAGACUG
Molecule: ribosomal RNA, 374 nt
Filed under: uncultured organism
Description: bacterial SSU rRNA
Rfam family: Bacterial small subunit ribosomal RNA
Source: RNAcentral